GUGGGGAAUCUUCCGCAAUGGACGAAAGUCUGACGGAGCAACGCCGCGUGAGUGAAGAAGGUUUUCGGAUCGUAAAGCUCUUUCGUUAGGGACGAACGUGCUCUUUGUGAAUAAUGAGGAGUAAUGACGGUACCUAAAUAAGAAGCCACGGCUAACUACGUGCCAGCAGCCGCGGUAAUACGUAGGUGGCAAGCGUUGUCCGGAAUUAUUGGGCGUAAAGCGCGCGCAGGCGGGAUAUCAAGUCUGUCUUAAAAGUGCGAGGCUCAACCUCGUGAGGGGACAGAAACUGGUAUUCUUGAGUGUCGGAGAGGAAAGUGGAAUUCCAAGUGUAGCGGUGAAAUGCGUAGAGAUUUGGAAGAACACCAGUGGCGAAGGCGACUUUCUGGACGAUGUCUGACGCUGAGGCGCGAAAGCUAGGGGAGCGAACGGGAUUAGAAACCCUUGUAGACC
Molecule: ribosomal RNA, 450 nt
Filed under: uncultured bacterium
Lineage: Bacteria
Description: partial 16S ribosomal RNA
Rfam family: Bacterial small subunit ribosomal RNA
Source: RNAcentral